AAGGAGUAAGUUAUCUCAGAGAAGACGAAGGAAAGGGCAGAAAAGGGAGGUAAGGAAGGAACAGUGCGUGACUACUACUGCCAUCUUUCAUCCGGAGAUGUCCAUGUCACUUGAAUAAUCGCAUAUCUGUACAGAUGCGACAAAAACUUGAAGAGCAACAUGCAUCAGAGAGAAAACAAAAUUUCACUCAUGCAGUGCUCUCAUCAGAGAUUAGUUGACUUGAGGUACUAAUUUAGAUGUAAAUUUAGAGGUUACUUUAUGUAUUUUUCAUUAUAACAAAUGUUGGUGAUUCUUUAAAAAAAAAUCAGGAUAUAGAAUUAAAAGCAAGAUAUUUCUGAAUUUGUGAGCAAUUUUAGUAUUUUUUUAAUUUUGUGAGCAAUUUUAGUAUUUUUCUAGCGCGUCUUGUGAGAAUUAAUAUGGAGGCUUCAUUGAAAAUCUCCAAUUAUUAAUAAUUUUUAAAAGAUGGUGAUGAUUUGAGCCUACUAAAUUGAUGGCUGAUUUUUUUCUCUUUAGGGAUUCUUUUAAUACGCCUCUUGAGGAUUAAUGUAUAGUCUUGUCUAAGCCUCCACUCACUGGUUUUAUUUGCUUGCCCACAUGGAUUGAGAUGUUUUCCUUUUUUUUUUUGCGACUUACAUAGUACAUUCGCCCUGAUGUACACUUCUUUUAGGCGAAUAGGCCCGACCAUAUGCAAAGUGCACACCGUACUGUCCGCUCAUCACCUCACUGGGCUUUAGUUCAGCUAGUAAUACACCUUCCAUGCAUUUCAGCACCAUGCAUCGCGAAGAACCUACACAAGCUACUGGCUUUAUCAUGUCCUUAUAGCUUGGAUUGGAUACACUCACAAUGCCACGACAUGAUGAUUGUGCAACACAAAUGACGAAUCAAAUCCUGUCCCUCAUCUGCCUCCACCAACCUUUGCUUCGCUCUCUGUUGUCCUUGGUGAACACAACUGAUGGACGGGUGGAUCGUCUGUUCGUCUCCUUUGCAUCUCUGCCUUGCCGCUUUCCGGUUCCGCUGUUUGAGCUCAGGAACACGAGCGCAUUUUUGCUGCAACUUUAUUCAACUUUGUGGCGAGUCCUAAAUAAAAACUUUGUGCUAAAGGAUGUCGAUCGCCCACAUUGUCGUCAUGGACGCCUUGAUUGCUCGAUCGCUCAAGAAGGUAGGCGCCAAAGGUAGCUAGACAGGUAAUAUUCAGAUCCGUGGUCAGAGAUUCAUCUUUGUCUUGGAUCUUUAUGCUCAAUCAGACGCCCACUCAUACUCCAGCUUUCAUGGUGCUCUCCCUUUUGUCUAAACUAACUCCAUGCACUCUCACUGGCACAGAGACAGCUAGGCAGGAACUGAAAGGAAAUAAAAUUCCAAGGUUUUGCAUGUGCCAUUAGCAUCCUUGGAUUGGAUGCAUAUGCAUUCUGAAUUCUGAACAGCAUUCGCAUCGCAUCCUCUAGUUUGCUGAACAAGUCUUCAGUUACAACAGCCUCUGAGCUAACCUAGGUCUAAUGUCCAAAAAAAUUGUAAAA
RNAcentral lists this long non-coding RNA (1514 nucleotides) under Sorghum bicolor (sorghum). RNAcentral describes it as "long non-coding RNA (SBIC_LNC016630)". The record is from RNAcentral. Lineage: Eukaryota; Viridiplantae; Streptophyta; Magnoliopsida; Poales; Poaceae.